UGGCAGUUUGAUCUCUGGUUCCUCUGUCUUUUCUAAAUCCAGCUUGAACAUCUGGAAGUUCAUGCUUCGUGUACUGUUGAAACCUGGCUUGGAGAAUUUUGAGAAUUACUUUGCUAGCAUGUGAGAUCAGUGCAACUGUGUGGCAGUUUGAGCAUUCUUUGGCAUUGCCUUUCUUGGGAUUGGAAUGAAAACUGACCUUACAGUCCUGGGGCACUGUUGAGUUUUCCAAAUUUGCUGGCAUAUUGAGUGCAGCACUUUCACAGCUUCAUCUUUUAGGAUUUGAAUGAGCUCUACUGGAAUUCCAUCACCUCCACUAGCUUUGUUUGUAAUGAUGCUUCCUAAGGCCCACUUGACUUCACAUUCCAGGAUGUCUGGCUCUAGGUGAGUGAUCACACCAUCACAAUUAUCUGGGUUAUGCCCAGAUAAAUUUAUCUGGGAAUUUUAGGGUGGUGAUAUUUAUGUUCAUACCAGAAAUGGUAAUUUAAGACACAGGGAUAAGGGGUCAGAUAACAUGGAGAAAAGACAUGUCUUUUGCAGGUAUUACUAGCAGAGUGUUCUAGCAGAGGAAUUUGUUCUGCUAAGAGCUCUUACUAUAAUCUUUAUUUUCUCUUUAUUUAUAGGAAUUUUUGUUUGCUUCUUGGUUUGUUUUAUUUUCCCAGAGGUCAGGAUUCAAGAAUCAGAAAGUGUCCUCCCCAGGACCUCUCAGAGAAGCACAGAGGCGAUUUCAGGAGACACUGCCUUGCUCACAUCCAAGAUACGGGUGAUGUGAUGGGUUCACUGGUAAAGGAACCCCAGAAGGAAGAAUGAAAAUUAUCUGGGUGAUCUUGAGUUUGAAGUAAGUGCCCCUGGGUGAUGUCUAACAGGAAGUUGGAAAUGUGGGGCUGGGUGGACCUACAGAUGCCUCGGUGGGGAUUGGUGUCUGAUCACUGGCACCUCCCUCUGAUUAAAAUAAUCAUUACUGUGAUGAUACAGUGUAAGUGCUGAAUAAGGACUUGCCACUAUACCAAAGCUUUCAUAUGUAUCAUCUCAUAGGGGAGCAUUUUGGGCUAUUGAUAUUAUUCUUGGAGUCAUUGAUAAUAAACAAUAGUUACUGAGUGUUUAUUAUAGGAAA
RNAcentral lists this long non-coding RNA (1111 nucleotides) under Bos indicus x Bos taurus (hybrid cattle). RNAcentral describes it as "lncRNA (ENSBIXG00000007839.1)". Lineage: Eukaryota; Metazoa; Chordata; Mammalia; Artiodactyla; Bovidae. The record is from RNAcentral.